GAAGUAGUUCUGAAAGAACAAUCUCCUUGCUUUUCACUAAGUCUUGCUGCACCCCCUACAAAGAGACAUUAGCCACACUGGAAGGUACAUUUGCUUAAACUCUUUCACCUUCAGUGUUUACUCGCCAAUUAGGUUGUUGGGGAGGUCAAAUAGGGUGUGCCUUAUGUCAUGCGCUUCCUGAGCUCUCAUGGCUACAUCUGCCGGUUCAUCUGUCUACAUAAACUGCAUGGAGAAAAGUUAUUGGAUCCCAUCAAUCGUUUUAUGUACAACUGUUUUAUUAAAGCCAUUGUCGU
Molecule: unclassified non-coding RNA, 293 nt
Filed under: Hevea brasiliensis (rubber tree)
Lineage: Eukaryota; Viridiplantae; Streptophyta; Magnoliopsida; Malpighiales; Euphorbiaceae
Source: RNAcentral